This 1348-nucleotide ribosomal RNA is filed under the name metagenome. RNAcentral describes it as "bacterial LSU rRNA". It matches the Rfam family "Bacterial large subunit ribosomal RNA", at positions 1564 to 2925 of the family's 2925-position model. The record is from RNAcentral.
UGAGUGCGAGCUGCUACGGCAGCGAAGUUGGUGACGUCAAGCUUCCAAGAAAAGCCCUAUACCCGUUAAGGCAUCAUGGCCUGUACCCGAAACCGACACAGGUGGGGUGGUAGAGAAUACCGAGGGGCGCGAGGUAACUCUCUCUAAGGAACUCGGCAAAAUGGCCCCGUAACUCCGGGAGAAGGGGUGCCACCGCAAGGUGGUCGCAGUGAAGAGGCCCAGGCGACUGUUUACCAAAAACACAGGUCUCCGCCAAGUCGCAAGACGAUGUAUGGGGGCUGACGCCUGCCCAGUGCCGGAAGGUUAAGGAAGCUGGUCAGCGCAAGCGAAGCUGGCGACUGAAGCCCCGGUGAACGGCGGCCGUAACGAUAACGGUCCUAAGGUAGCGAAAUUCCUUGUCGGGUAAGUUCCGACCCGCACGAAAGGCGUAACGAUCUGGGCGCUGUCUCGGAGAGAGGCUCGGCGAAAUAGAAUUGUCUGUGAAGAUGCGGACUACGUGCACCCGGACAGAAAGACCCUAUGAAGCUUUACUGUAGCUUGGUAUUGUGCCCGGGCUCUGAAUGCGCAGGAUAGGUGGGAGGCUUUGAUCAUCGGCUUGCGGGUCGAUGUGAGCCAACAGUGAGAUACCACUCUUUCAGAGCUAGGGUUCUAACAGUCACCCGUUAUCCGGGGACUGGACAGUAUCAGGUGGGCAGUUUGACUGGGGCGGUCGCCUCCUAAAAGGUAACGGAGGCGCGCAAAGGUCUGCUCAGGCUGGUUGGUAAUCAGCCGACGAGUGUAAAAGCAGAAGCAGGCUUGACUGUGAGACCUACAAGUCGAACAGGGAGGAAACUCGGCUUUAGUGAUCCGACGGUUCUGCGUGGAAGGGCCGUCGCUCAACGGAUAAAAGUUACUCUAGGAUAACAGGCUGAUCUCCCCCAAGAGUUCACAUCGACGGGGAGGUUUGGCACCUCGAUGUCGGCUCAUCGCAACCUUGGGCUGAAGUCGGUCCCAAGGGUUGGGCUGUUCGCCCAUUAAAGCGGUACGCGAGCUGGGUUCAGAACGUCGUGAGACAGUUCGGUCCAUAUCCGGUGCAUGCGCAGGAAUAUUGAGAGGAGUUCUCCCUAGUACGAGAGGACCGGGAGGAACGCACCUCUGGUGUACCAGUUAUCGUGCCAACGGUAAACGCUGGGUAGCCAUGUGCGGAGAGGAUAACCGCUGAAAGCAUCUAAGUGGGAAGCCCACCUCAAGAUGAGUAUUCCCAUGGCGUUAGCCAGUAAGGUCACGGGAAGAACACCCGUUGAUAGGCUCUAUGUGGAAGCGCAGUAAUGCGCGAAGCAGAGGAGUACUAAUAGACCGAGGGCUUGAU